Molecule: unclassified non-coding RNA, 179 nt
Filed under: uncultured fungus
Lineage: Eukaryota; Fungi
Description: sequence contains ITS1
Source: RNAcentral
UCGGGAAACGAGCGCCUACAAGCCGACUACUCGGGUCUUCUGGCCGCGCUGGAGCCCUCGCCGGACAAUGCGGAGCUCUCCGCGCCGAAUGACGGCCUGAACGCCUCAGAGAUUGCGGCGCUGAACCACCAGCUCGGACCAGUCGUGAGCUUCGAGCGCGACGGCGCUUCGUUGAUCGC